ACUUUAACUUCUGAAGCUAGGUGAAUGAGUAGAUGUACCAUAAUAAUGAAAAAUCCAGGAGAAAAAUUUUUUUCCAUCUGGCAAAGUAUAAUUGCAAUAUCGGAUUCUAACUGAUCAAGUUCUCGAGGAUCAAUAACUUUUGAACAUAAUGCCUUAAAGAAUGAUGAUAAUCGAAGUACAAUUGUAACAACUUGUUUCGGCA
This 202-nucleotide long non-coding RNA is filed under the name Elaeis guineensis (African oil palm). Its description in RNAcentral is "long non-coding RNA (EGUI_LNC026594)". Lineage: Eukaryota; Viridiplantae; Streptophyta; Magnoliopsida; Arecales; Arecaceae. The record is from RNAcentral.